CCUACGGGUGGCAGCAGUUGGGAAUCUUGCACAAUGGGGGAAACCCUGAUGCAGCGACGCCGCGUGGAGGAUGAAGGAUUUAGGUCUGUAAACUCCUUUUAUCGGGAAAGACUUAGGACGGUACCCGAUGAAUAAGCACCGGCUAACUACGUGCCAGCAGCCGCGGUAAGACGUAGGGUGCAAGCGUUGUCCGGAUUUACUGGGCGUAAAGAGCGCGUAGGCGGUCUGUUAAGUGUAGAGUGAAAUCUCCAGGGCUCAACCCGGAAACUGCUCUGCAUACUGGCAGACUUGAGGGACUGAGAGGUGAAUGGAAUUCCUGGUGUAGCGGUGAAAUGCGUAGAUAUCAGGAGGAACACCCAUGGCGAAGGCAGUUCACUGGCAGUCUCCUGACGCUGAGGCGCGAAAGCGUGGGUAGCAAACAGGAUUAGAUACCCUUGUAG
RNAcentral lists this ribosomal RNA (440 nucleotides) under uncultured bacterium. RNAcentral's name for it is "bacterial SSU rRNA". It matches the Rfam family "Bacterial small subunit ribosomal RNA", at positions 338 to 793 of the family's 1533-position model. The record is from RNAcentral.